GACGAACGCUGGCGGCGUGCUUAACACAUGCAAGUCGAACGGAAAGGCCCUGCUUGCAGGGUACUCGAGUGGCGAACGGGUGAGUAACACGUGGGUGAUCUGCCCUGCACUUCGGGAUAAGCUUGGGAAACUGGGUCUAAUACCGGAUAGGAACCAUCUUUAGUGUGGUGGUUGGAAAGUUUUUUCGGUGUAGGAUGAGCUCGCGGCCUAUCAGCUUGUUGGUGGGGUAAUGGCCUACCAAGGCGGCGACGGGUAGCCGGCCGGAGAGGGUGUAGGGCCACAGGGGGACGGGGGAACGGCCCACAGUCCUACGGGAGGCAGCUGGGGGGAAUAUGGAACAAUGGGCGCAAGCCUGAUGCAGCGACGCCGCGUGGGGGAUGAAGGCCUUCGGGUUGUAAACUCCUUUCGCUAGGGACGAAGCUUUGUUGUGACGGUACCUAGAGAAGAAGCACCGGCUAACUACGCG
RNAcentral lists this ribosomal RNA (466 nucleotides) under uncultured bacterium. RNAcentral describes it as "partial 16S ribosomal RNA". It matches the Rfam family "Bacterial small subunit ribosomal RNA", at positions 28 to 507 of the family's 1533-position model. The record is from RNAcentral.